RNAcentral lists this ribosomal RNA (605 nucleotides) under uncultured cyanobacterium. Its description in RNAcentral is "bacterial SSU rRNA". It matches the Rfam family "Bacterial small subunit ribosomal RNA", at positions 145 to 785 of the family's 1533-position model. The record is from RNAcentral. Lineage: Bacteria; Bacillati; Cyanobacteriota.
AACAGUUGGAACGACUGCUAAUACCCGAUGUGCCGAGAGGUGAAAGAUUUGUCGUCUGAAGAAGGGCUCGCGGCUGAUUAGCUAGUUGGUAGGGUAAAGGCUUACCAAGGCAACGAUCAGUAACUGGUCUGAGAGGAUGAGCAGUCACACUGGAACUGAGAAACGGUCCAGACUCCUACGGGAGGCAGCAGUGGGGAAUUUUCCGCAAUGGGCGAAAGCCUGACGGAGCAAUACCGCGUGAGGGAGGAAGGUUCUUGGAUUGUAAACCUCUUUUAUCAGGGAAUAAAAAUGAAGGUACCUGAUGAAUAAGCAUCGGCUAACUCCGUGCCAGCAGCCGCGGUAAUACGGAGGAUGCAAGCGUUAUCCGGAAUUAUUGGGCGUAAAGAGUCCGUAGGUGGAAGUUCAAGUCUGUCGUUAAAGAAUGGAGCUUAACUCCAUAGAGGCGGUGGAAACUGAACAACUAGAGUGCGGUAGGGGUAACGGGAAUUCCCAGUGUAGCGGUGAAAUGCGUAGAUAUUGGGAAGAACAUCGGUGGCGAAAGCGCGUUACUGGGCCGAAACUGACACUGAGGGACGAAAGCUAGGGUAGCGAAAGGGAUUAGAUAC